Molecule: non-coding RNA, 68 nt
Organism: Podarcis lilfordi (Lilford's wall lizard)
Lineage: Eukaryota; Metazoa; Chordata; Lepidosauria; Squamata; Lacertidae
Source: the annotation of a GenBank genome assembly
GCCUAGCUCAGUUGGUAGAGCAUGAGACUUAAUCCCAGGGAUGUGGGGUUUGAGUCCCACGUUGGACA